GCUUUGCUGUGCUGGGCACAAUGCUGUCUUGAAAACAGUUUAGGAAUGUUCGAUUCAUUUGUAAGGCU
This 68-nucleotide transfer RNA is filed under the name Ceraesignum maximum. RNAcentral describes it as "tRNA-Ser". The record is from RNAcentral. Lineage: Eukaryota; Metazoa; Mollusca; Gastropoda; Littorinimorpha; Vermetidae.